UACGUAGGUGGCGAGCGUUGUCCGGAUUUACUGGGCGUAAAGAGCCCGCAGGCGGUCCGUUAAGUUUCAGGUGAAAUCUCCUGGCUCAACUGGGAGGGUGCCUGGAAAACUGGCGGACUUGAGGCAGGGAGAGGGAUGUGGAAUUCCCGGUGUAGUGGUGAAAUGCGUAGAUAUCGGGAGGAACACCAGUGGCGAAGGCGACUUCCUGGCCUGUUCUUGACGCUGAGGCGCGAAAGCUAGGGGAGCAAACGGG
Molecule: ribosomal RNA, 253 nt
Filed under: uncultured bacterium
Lineage: Bacteria
Description: partial 16S ribosomal RNA
Rfam family: Bacterial small subunit ribosomal RNA
Source: RNAcentral